CUCGCCGCCGCCCCUGCACCCCACCGCUCUGGUUCUCCUUCCUCCACCCAAACCCACCUCCACGGCUGCGGCCUCUUUCUUCCCCAUCCUCUCCCGUCCUCAAUACCAUGGCCUCGGGCUGCUGCUAUAGAUCCGGCGCGCGCAGAUCUGGGAUGAAGCUGAACCCUGACAUAGGUCUUGUCAGACCAGAGCUACCGUCGGGUGGCCGGUUACCACAAUUGCUCGGUGGAGGCCGCACCUAGUCGCGACUGGGUGCGUUGUGUGUGCGUGAUGACAUGGCGGCAGCAGCGGCAAUCAGUGGCUCCGGCGUGUCUACUAGUGAGAUGGUACCAAGUAGAUAUAUCCGCACAUGUUCGUCAACCGGCUGCAGAUGCGACCUUCUAUCAAUAUCUAUUUCAGAUGCAGGUCUUGGUGGCACUGCUGCAUGGCGCAAAAUAGAGCUUGAGAGGGCGGGCGGCCACGAUGGCCGUGAUGGAGCUGCUCCGUGAUCAACCAGGGGUAUGAUUGGGUAGUGGUCUACAAAGUGCUACCCAUCAUAAUCCGCGCCAGGACAUGAUAGUUGCCAUCAGGAGAGUCGACAAAGAAUCUCAACAGCAGCUUCAAAAGUUUAUAUGUUUUGUUGAUGUAAACUGGAUUGUACUGCUUCUUAACCUUGUUGUGUGAUAUAUUUAGUGUUGUAAAUUAUCAUUACAUGGAAGGAUUUGUAAACUGCUAUGUUGUAUAUACACACAUGAUUUUUUUGAAAAAAAUAUAUACAUACAAAU
Long non-coding RNA from Aegilops tauschii subsp. strangulata, 764 nucleotides. RefSeq lists it as uncharacterized. Lineage: Eukaryota; Viridiplantae; Streptophyta; Magnoliopsida; Poales; Poaceae. The record is from RefSeq and is a predicted model, not a curated record.